This 737-nucleotide ribosomal RNA is filed under the name Escherichia coli. Its description in RNAcentral is "partial 23S ribosomal RNA". It matches the Rfam family "Bacterial large subunit ribosomal RNA", at positions 165 to 942 of the family's 2925-position model. The record is from RNAcentral. Lineage: Bacteria; Pseudomonadati; Pseudomonadota; Gammaproteobacteria; Enterobacterales; Enterobacteriaceae.
CAUAGGUUAAUGAGGCGAACCGGGGGAACUGAAACAUCUAAGUACCCCGAGGAAAAGAAAUCAACCGAGAUUCCCCCAGUAGCGGCGAGCGAACGGGGAGCAGCCCAGAGCCUGAAUCAGUGUGUGUGUUAGUGGAAGCGUCUGGAAAGGCGCGCGAUACAGGGUGACAGCCCCGUACACAAAAAUGCACAUACUGUGAGCUCGAUGAGUAGGGCGGGACACGUGGUAUCCUGUCUGAAUAUGGGGGGACCAUCCUCCAAGGCUAAAUACUCCUGACUGACCGAUAGUGAACCAGUACCGUGAGGGAAAGGCGAAAAGAACCCCGGCGAGGGGAGUGAAAAAGAACCUGAAACCGUGUACGUACAAGCAGUGGGAGCACGCUUAGGCGUGUGACUGCGUACCUUUUGUAUAAUGGGUCAGCGACUUAUAUUCUGUAGCAAGGUUAACCGAAUAGGGGAGCCGAAGGGAAACCGAGUCUUAACUGGGCGUUAAGUUGCAGGGUAUAGACCCGAAACCCGGUGAUCUAGCCAUGGGCAGGUUGAAGGUUGGGUAACACUAACUGGAGGACCGAACCGACUAAUGUUGAAAAAUUAGCGGAUGACUUGUGGCUGGGGGUGAAAGGCCAAUCAAACCGGGAGAUAGCUGGUUCUCCCCGAAAGCUAUUUAGGUAGCGCCUCGUGAAUUCAUCUCCGGGGGUAGAGCACUGUUUCGGCAAGGGGGUCAUCCCGACUUACCAA